RNAcentral lists this long non-coding RNA (770 nucleotides) under Homo sapiens (human). RNAcentral's name for it is "HSALNT0230012". The record is from RNAcentral. Lineage: Eukaryota; Metazoa; Chordata; Mammalia; Primates; Hominidae.
ACUAAGAAAGAAUCCUCCUAGAUAACUACAAUCUUCAGCUGUGACUGUGCAUCCGUGGUGAGCAGGGAUUUUGAAUCAAGACUGCGUUAGGAAGAGGCUCAAGGGGGCAGACAGUGCCACCUCCAGAGAAGCCACUGCUCCUACUCCUGCCUCUCCUGCUACUGCCGCCACCGUCCUCUGCUCCUGCAGCCCCCACUGGGCGCCCGAUUCCUUCUUGGAGUGCGGAGGUCCUGUUCCUUCAGGAACGACAGACAGCUUUUCUCCCCGUCUCCUCGUUUGCUCAGCCGGCAGGUGCAGGACUGGAGAUCUGAGGUGGUCCUGCGUCUCGAGGAGCCGGGCGCCCGACUGUGAGAAGGAGGAGGCAAGCUAUGGGGAGAGGGGGCGACAGGAAUGCCAGGCUCAUGAGGCCGGCGGCCGCGGCCCAGCUCUGUUCAGCUUCAAAGUUGACUGGACAAAAUAACUAAAUUGUAAGUUCUCUCCGAAUUGUCACGGGUUGGAUAAUUUACUGUCUUUGUCUGAAACCUGUAACCUGCCUUGUUUUCCCGCCUCAAACGGCACUUAAGCAAGCCUGCUUUCUUUGCAGGGGUCGGCAGCCAUUUUGGGCAUGAGCCUGCUGUUGGCUCAGGUGCCUGAAUUAAAUAAAGUUCUCUUUGGUCUCCAAAGGUCUCUUCGUGUUCCUUGGCUGGAGUUUUACUACAACAGUACCAGAUGUCGCCACCAUCCCCAUCCUUGGCCCCCUAGCCGUCAUUCAUACAUCCUGUGUUCAACAA